RNAcentral lists this ribosomal RNA (371 nucleotides) under Arcobacter sp. FW59. RNAcentral's name for it is "bacterial LSU rRNA". It matches the Rfam family "Bacterial large subunit ribosomal RNA", at positions 1547 to 1896 of the family's 2925-position model. The record is from RNAcentral. Lineage: Bacteria; Pseudomonadati; Campylobacterota; Epsilonproteobacteria; Campylobacterales; Arcobacteraceae.
CUCUUUAUGCUGCGAUACUCCGUUAAGUACUUAUGGGGGUGAUGUCAUUGAUGCCAUGCUUCCAGGAAAAGCCUCUAAGCUUCAGAUUGUAAGGAAUCGUACCCCAAACCGACACAGGUGGUCGGGUAGAGAAUACCAAGGCGCUUGAGAGAACUCGGGUGAAGGAACUAGGCAAAAUGGUACCGUAACUUCGGGAGAAGGUACGCUCUUAUCAGUGAAGUCCCUUGCGGAUGGAGCAGACGAGAGUCGCAGAUACCAGGUGGCUGCAACUGUUUAUUAAAAACACAGCACUGUGCAAAAUCGUAAGAUGACGUAUACGGUGUGACGCCUGCCCGGUGCCGGAAGGUUAAUUGAUGGGGUUAGACUUCGGU